CAAAUAAUAAUAAUAAUCUGCUUAAAAUAUGGGCAAAGGAGCCACAUAGACACUUCUCAGAAGAAGAUGUACAAAUAGCCAAUAAGUAUAUGAAAAAAUACUCAACAUCACUAAUCACCAAGGAAAUUCAAAUUAAAACCACAGUAAAAUAUCAUCUCACCCCAGUUAGGAUAACAAAAAGACAAAAAGUAACAAAUGCUGGUGAAGAUGUAGAGAAAAAGGAAAACAUUAUGAGAAACAGUAUGGAGGUCCCUUAAAAAGCUAUAAAUAGGACUACCAGAUGAUCCAGCAAUCCCUCUACUGGGUAUAUGCCCAGUAUGGAUUUGGAUUUCUUUUCAAUCCAAGGGAAAGGAAAUCAAUAUGUUGAGGAGACAUUUGCACUUAUGUGUUUAUUGCAGCAGUAUUCACAAUAGCCAACACAUGAAAUCAACCUAAAUGACUGUAACAGAUGAAUAAAGAAAAUGUGGUACAUGGUACAUAUAUACAAUGGAAUACUAUUCACCAAAAAACACAAAUCCAGUCAUUUAUGCCAAAAUGGAUGAGCUUGGAGGACAUUAUGUUAAGUAAAAUAGGGCAGACACAGAAAGACAAAUACAGCAUGUUCUCAUUCAUAUGUGGAAGCUUAAAAAUUUGAAAGUAGGCCGGGCACGGUGGCUCAUGCCUGUAAUCCCAGCACUUUGGGAGACCGAGGCAGGUGGAUCACGAGUCAGGAGUUCGAGACCAGCCUGACCAAUAUGGGGAAACCCUGUCUCUACUAAAAAUACAAAAAUUAGCCGGGCAUGGUGGCGUGUGCCUGUAAUCCCAGCUACUCAGGAGGCGGAGGCAGGAUAAUUGCUUGAACCCGGGAGGCGGAGGUUGCAGUGAGCCAAGAUCGCGCCACCACACUCCAGCCUGGUGACAGAGUAAGACUGUCUCAAAAAAAAAAAACACAACAAAAAUGUCUAGGAGCAGAGAGUAGACUAGUGGUUACUGGAGGCUAGGACGGGUAGCAGCAGAGAUUGGAUAGGGAGAAGUUGGUUAAUUAAUACAAAAUUACAGCUAGGGAGGAGGAAUAAGUUCUAGUG
This 1064-nucleotide long non-coding RNA is filed under the name Homo sapiens (human). RNAcentral's name for it is "non-protein coding lnc-EXOC2-28:1". The record is from RNAcentral. Lineage: Eukaryota; Metazoa; Chordata; Mammalia; Primates; Hominidae.